CGAGCGAUUUACUUCGGUAAAGAGCGGCGGACGGGUGAGUAACGCGUGGGUCACCUGCCCUGUACACACGGAUAACAUACCGAAAGGUAUGCUAAUACGAGAUAAAAUACUUUUAUCGCAUGGUAGAAGUAUCAAAGCUUUUGCGGUACAGGAUGGACCCGCGUCUGAUUAGCUAGUUGGUAAGGUAACGGCUUACCAAGGCGACGAUCAGUAGCCGACCUGAGAGGGUGAUCGGCCACAUUGGAACUGAGACACGGUCCAAACUCCUACGGGAGGCAGCAGUGGGGAAUAUUGCACAAUGGGCGAAAGCCUGAUGCAGCAACGCCGCGUGAGCGAUGAAGGCCUUCGGGUCGUAAAGCUCUGUCCUCAAGGAAGAUAAUGACGGUACUUGAGGAGGAAGCCCCGGCUAACUACGUGCCAGCAGCCGCGGUAAUACGUAGGGGGCUAGCGUUAUCCGGAAUUACUGGGCGUAAAGGGUGCGUAGGUGGUUUCUUAAGUCAGAGGUGAAAGGCUACGGCUCAACCGUAGUAAGCCUUUGAAACUGGGAAACUUGAGUGCAGGAGAGGAGAGUGGAAUUCCUAGUGUAGCGGUGAAAUGCGUAGAUAUUAGGAGGAACACCAGUUGCGAAGGCGGCUCUCUGGACUGUAACUGACACUGAGGCACGAAAGCGUGGGGAGCAAACAGGAUUAGAUACCCUGGUAGUCCACGCCGUAAACGAUGAUCACUAGGUGUCGGUGGGUAUGGACCCAUCGGUGCCGCAGCCAACGCAGUAAGUGAUCCACCUG
Molecule: ribosomal RNA, 785 nt
Filed under: uncultured bacterium
Lineage: Bacteria
Description: bacterial SSU rRNA
Rfam family: Bacterial small subunit ribosomal RNA
Source: RNAcentral